Caenorhabditis elegans is the source of this 52-nucleotide non-coding RNA. The record is from Ensembl. Lineage: Eukaryota; Metazoa; Nematoda; Chromadorea; Rhabditida; Rhabditidae.
UCUAGCGUUAAUUUUGAAAUUUUCGGGUUACUGUAGCCCCAAAAGUACGCAA